Salvelinus fontinalis (brook trout) is the source of this 2408-nucleotide long non-coding RNA. RefSeq lists it as uncharacterized. The record is from RefSeq and is a predicted model, not a curated record. NCBI's taxonomy places the organism in Eukaryota, Metazoa, Chordata, Actinopteri, Salmoniformes, Salmonidae. The transcript is spliced from 2 exons.
GCUAAUUUACGUGAUACCUGGUUUCUCAGAGAGGAAGGGGAAGAAUUUCAGAUAUCAAAGGUCAACUGUCCGGGGGUCAGAUAUCAAAGGUCAACUGUCCGGGGGUUUCUUCGGAUGGGGCCACAGUGUCUCCUGACCGCUCCUGUCUCAGCGUCCAGUAUUUAUGCUGCAGUAGUUUAUGUGUCGGGGGGCUAGGGUCAGUUGGUUAUACCUGGAGUACUUCUCCUGUCUUAUCCAGUGUCCUGUGUGAAUGUAAGUAUGCUCUCUCUAAUUCUCUCGUUCUCUCUUUCUCUCUGAGAACCUGAGCCCUAGGACCAUACGUCAGGACUACCGGGCAUGCUGACACCUUGCUGUCCCCAGUCCGCCUGGCCUUGCUGCUAUUCCAGUUUCAACUGUUCUGCCUGCGGUUACGAAACCCCUACCUGUCCCAGACCUGCUGUUUUCAACUCUUAAUGAUCGGCUAUGAAAAGCCAACUGAGAUUUAUUCCUGAUUAUUAUUUGACCAUGCUUGUCAUUUAUGAACAUUUUGAAAAUCUUGGCUCUCUCUAAUUUUCUCCUUCUCUCUUUCUUUCUCUCGGAGGACCUGGGCCCUAGGACCAUGCGUCGGGACUGCCACCCGUGGUGACUCCUUGCUGUCCCCAGUCCGCCUGGCCUUGCUGCUAUUCCAGUUUCAGCUGUUCUGCCUGCGGUUAUGGAACCGCCACCUGUCCCAGACCUGUUGUUUUUCAACUCUUAAUGAUCAGCUAUGAAAAGCCAACUGAAAAUUAUUCAUGAUUAUUAUUUGACCAUGCUUGUCACUUAUGAACAUUUUUGAACAUCUUGGCAUAGUUCUGUUAUAAUCUCCACCCGGCACAGCCAGAAGAGGACUGGCCACCCCUCAUAGCCUGGUUCCUCUCUAGGUUUCUUCCUAGGUUUUGGCCUUUCUAGGGAGUUUUUCCUAGCCACCGUGCUUCUACACCUGCAUUACUAGCUGUUUGGGGUUUUAGGCUGGGUUUCUGUACAGCACUUCGAGAUAUUAGCUGAUGUACGAAGGGCUAUAUAAAAUAAAAUUGAUUGAUAAAAAGCUACAUAAAAAAUCCUCAGUUUCUGGAAUAUUAUACCUUAUUUUGUUUUUCAGAAGUUCAGAGGGUUUAAUUUUUUACUACAAUGUCCAUAUAUUGUGGGUAAACUUCCUGUGAAACUGGCAGCUUUUCACAAGCAGGCUUUAAUAUAUAAACACAACUUUUCACCUCUUAAAUGUUUUAUAUGGAACAAUGGGUCGAUAUUACAUAGAAACAAGAUGUUAUUUAACCAUAAAUGGUUCUCGAAAAACAUUGUCCUUGUCAGCCAAUUAGUUAAUAUUAGUGGGAAUCUAUUUACACGGAGAGAAUUUAUGGAAAGAUACAACUUUGAGGUUUCAAGCAAGGAAUAUGACACUGUUAUUAAAGCUAUACCUAGUGGGAUAAAAACUUUACUUCAGAAUAAUGCAUAUUUUGGAAUAUCUCCGAUUGUAAGCGAUAUCCAGGUGAAUGGCAUUGGUCUACUAGAUAUGAAAUUCAACAAUCAUUUAUUAAGGGAUAUUUUCUACAGGAAGUCUAUUCCCUCUGCGAUAUUUUGUUGGGCUUCAUCGUUUGAUGUAAACUUGGCUCACUCCACACAAAUUUAUGGUGACCAAUAAAGUAAAGGAGAUCUCCUUUAAGAUUAUCCAUAGAUUCUAUCCGUGUAAUAGGUUGAUUUCUAAAUAUAUACCUGAUGUUACCAGUGAAUGCUUUUUUUGUGAACUAGUAACUGAAUCUAUUGAACACUUAUUCUGUCAUUGUUUAUAUAGUGAAGUGUUCUGGACUGAUGUAAAACUAUAUCUUGGCCUCAAAUUGCAUACAACCAUUGACAUUUCUAAGUUUGGCAUAUUAUUUUACUACACUGAUUCCACAAUUGAACGUGAGGAUGUCAUAAAUCUCUUUAUUUUAUUAGGAAACAUUUUCAUACACAAAUCAAAAUUUAUGAAGAAAAAGCCCCUUUUUAUUAAUAUUUGUAUCUGAUUUGGAAAACUAUUUAGAGUAUUUAAAACAUAUACAAAACAAAAUGUAAAAAAAAAAAAUAUUCGCUAUAUAUUUGAAUUGAUAUAAUGUGGAUUAGUAAAAAGGAAAAAAUCUAAUUUCUUUGUGGAAUCCCUCUGGCUGUUAUGUUUUUGUUUUGCAUGUUACUGUUAAUAAAAAAUGGAAAAAUUAAAAAUCUGCUGUCAUUUAAAAAAAAAUAUAUACUGUAUAUUAAGAAGGGAAGAGAGAGGCCCAACUCGGGGGGAAAUAUGUCUCCCUCCAGCAGGUAGCGUUUUUUCGUUGUUUCGCCCAUCAAGCAAGGAGUUUUUGUAUGGAGGUCAAUGAGAGAGUGUCGAAUUUGGUCAACAAUAAAGAAUAGUUGCUUAUUUUCUA